UACGUAGGGUCCGAGCGUUGUCCGGAAUUACUGGGCGUAAAGAGCUCGUAGGUGGUUUGUCGCGUUGUUCGUGAAAACUCACAGCUCAACUGUGGGCGUGCGGGCGAUACGGGCAGACUAGAGUACUGCAGGGGAGACUGGAAUUCCUGGUGUAGCGGUGGGAUGCGCAGAUAUCAGGAGGAACACCGGUGGCGAAGGCGGGUCUCUGGGCAGUAACUGACGCUGAGGAGCGAAAGCGUGGGGAGCGAACAGG
Molecule: ribosomal RNA, 253 nt
Filed under: uncultured bacterium
Lineage: Bacteria
Description: partial 16S ribosomal RNA
Rfam family: Bacterial small subunit ribosomal RNA
Source: RNAcentral